AGCAGCCGCGGUAAUUCCAGCUCCAAUAGCGUAUAUUAAAGUUGUUGCAGUUAAAAAGCUCGUAGUUGAACCUUGGGCCUGGCUGGCCGGUCCGCCUCACCGCGUGUACUGGUCCGGCCGGGCCUUUCCUUCUGGGGAACCUCAUGCCCUUCACUGGGCGUGUUGGGGAACCAGGACUUUUACUUUGAAAAAUUUAGAGUGUUCGAAGCAGGCCUUUGCUCGAAUACAUUAGCAUGGAAUAAUAGAAUAGGACGUGUGGUUCUAUUUUGUUGGUUUCUAGGACCGCCGUAAUGAUUAAUAGGGAUAGUCGGGGGCAUCAGUAUUCAAUCGUCAGAGGUGAAAUUCUUGGAUUGAUUGAAGACUAACUACUGCGAAAGCAUUUGCCAAGGAUGUUUUCAUUAAUCAGUGAACGAAAGUUAGGGGAUCGAAGACGAUCAGAUACCGUCGUAGUCUUAACCAUAAACUAUGCCGACUAGGGAUCGGACGGUGUUAGUAUUUUGACCCG
This 505-nucleotide ribosomal RNA is filed under the name uncultured glomeraceous AM fungus. RNAcentral's name for it is "SSU rRNA". It matches the Rfam family "Eukaryotic small subunit ribosomal RNA", at positions 569 to 1078 of the family's 1831-position model. Lineage: Eukaryota; Fungi; Glomeromycota; Glomeromycetes; Glomerales; Glomeraceae. The record is from RNAcentral.